Molecule: small nucleolar RNA, 132 nt
Organism: Cricetulus griseus (Chinese hamster)
Lineage: Eukaryota; Metazoa; Chordata; Mammalia; Rodentia; Cricetidae
Product: small nucleolar RNA SNORA46
Source: Ensembl
AGCACUGUAUUUAAAUAUAUGGAUGGAAAUUUCUCCUAUUCUAGGCUAUGCUGUAGUGCAAGAAUUCUGGCUCAUUGUUGCACCGCUGACUUGUGCCAUUUUGCUGUUACUUAAUAGAGUUAAGGAGCAUUG